Molecule: ribosomal RNA, 440 nt
Filed under: uncultured bacterium
Lineage: Bacteria
Description: partial 16S ribosomal RNA
Rfam family: Bacterial small subunit ribosomal RNA
Source: RNAcentral
CCUACGGGUGGCAGCAGUGGGGAAUAUUGGACAAUGGGGGGAACCCUGAUCCAGCGACGCCGCGUGAGUGAAGACGUAUUUCGGUAUGUAAAGCUCUAUCAGCAGGGAAGAAAAUGACGGUACCUGACUCAGAAGCUCCGGCUAACUACGUGCCAGCAGCCGCGGUAAUACGUAGGGGGCCAGCGUUAUCCGGAUUUACUGGGUGUAAAGGGAGCGUAGGCGGUGCAGCAAGUCAGAUGUGAAAGGUCGGGGCCCAACCCCGGGACUGCAUUUGAAACUGUUGAACUUGAGUACAGGAGAGGUAGGCGGAAUUCGUAGUGUAGCGGUGAAAUGCAUAGAUAUUAGGAGGAACACCAGUUGCGAAGGCAGCUUACUGGACUGUAACUGACGUUGAGGCUCGAAAGCGUGGGGAGCAAACAGGAUUAGAUACCCUAGUAGUC